GACGAACGCUGGCGGCGUGCCUAUUACAUGCAAUUCUAGCGGACUUAAAAAGCUUGCUUUUUAAGUUAGCGGCGGACGUGUGAUUAACACGUGGGCAACCUGCCUGUAAGACUGGGAUAACUUCGUGAAACCGGAGCUAAUACCGGAUAAUCCUUUUCUACUCAUGUAGAAAAGCUGAAAGACGGUUUACGCUGUCACUUACAGAUGGGCUCGCGGCGCAUUAGCUAGUUGGUGAGGUAACGGCUCACCAAGGCGACGAUGCGUAGCCGACCUGAGAGGGUGAUCGGCCACACUAGGACUGAGCUACGGCCAAGACUCCUACGGGAGGCAGCAGUAGGGAAUCUUCCGCAAUGGGCGAAAGUCUGACGGGGCAACGACGCGUGAGUGAUGAAGGUUUUCGGAUCGUAAAACUCUGUUGUUAGGGAAGAACAAGUACGAGAGUAACUGCUCGUACCUUGACGGUACCUAACCAGAAAGACACGGCUAACUACGUG
This 494-nucleotide ribosomal RNA is filed under the name uncultured bacterium. RNAcentral describes it as "partial 16S ribosomal RNA". It matches the Rfam family "Bacterial small subunit ribosomal RNA", at positions 28 to 507 of the family's 1533-position model. The record is from RNAcentral.